UACGUAGGGUGCGAGCGUUAAUCGGAAUUACUGGGCGUAAAGCGUGCGCAGGCGGUUUUGUAAGCCAGAUGUGAAAGCCCCGGGCUUAACCUGGGAAUGGCAUUUGGGACUGCAAGGCUUGAGUGCGGCAGAGGAGACUGGAAUUCCUGGUGUAGCAGUGAAAUGCGUAGAUAUCAGGAGGAACACCGAUGGCGAAGGCAGGUCUCUGGGCAUUAACUGACGCUGAGGAGCGAAAGCAUGGGGAGCGAACAGG
RNAcentral lists this ribosomal RNA (253 nucleotides) under uncultured bacterium. RNAcentral describes it as "partial 16S ribosomal RNA". It matches the Rfam family "Bacterial small subunit ribosomal RNA", at positions 524 to 776 of the family's 1533-position model. The record is from RNAcentral.